GCCAUUAAGAAGAAGAAGAAGCAGCAGCGCAGCGAUGCUUUGAACAAAGAUCUCUGACCACGAGGCUGGCGGCGUGGAUUGAAUCCAAACCGGUCAGAACCGGUUUGGAUCGCAGACUGAUGAGUUUCAGACUGUCUGACUCCGGUUCCGAUCCAGUUCCGGUCUGGCGGGGAGGCUUCCACACGAUUUCUUCUGACUUUUCUCUGCUGGUUCCGGGGGGCAGUGACUGAAGUACCGCAGGAUGCUAACUGCUAGCUAAGGCCAGCUACAUCAACUGGACCGGGCCGAUGUGUCGGAACCACCCGGUCCUGGGUUCUUCUCCAGGUGAGUCUGCGCGUGCAGACAGGAUCUGCGAGGGGCCGGGUCAGCGGCGAGCACAGAAAGCAAGGCUCAGCCUGAUUUACAUCUGGAGCUCCAGCGCCUCCUGCUGGCUGGAGGUUUCCUGGGUUAAACGGCAGCAGAUAGAAGAACUGAUUCUGUCCCUAAAAUAGCAACAAUAAACUGAAGCAAAUCAUGUGACCCUGGGAGCCAAUAGGAGGCCAGCUUGAGGGCUCAGCUGAUGACUCUCUUCCCCCAGAUUGGCUCCACUUCCAGAAUCAGACCGAACCGGGUCAGCAGUUCUGUUCUACUUUGAUGAUUCUGGAGCUGCUGGUCCGAUCUCCUGAAACAUUUUAAUGAAACCUAAAAAGCUUUCCUUCCAUUAAUAAGAGUUGAAGCUCGGUUCUGUUAGAACCCUGGUCCUGGAAACGUGUUCUGAUUGGUUCUGUGACGUCACGUUUUUUGAAUAAACAUUUAUGAAAUCUCCCA
Molecule: long non-coding RNA, 807 nt
Organism: Poecilia latipinna (sailfin molly)
Lineage: Eukaryota; Metazoa; Chordata; Actinopteri; Cyprinodontiformes; Poeciliidae
Exons: 4
Source: RefSeq, a predicted model, not a curated record